Molecule: long non-coding RNA, 438 nt
Organism: Hipposideros armiger (great roundleaf bat)
Lineage: Eukaryota; Metazoa; Chordata; Mammalia; Chiroptera; Hipposideridae
Exons: 2
Source: RefSeq, a predicted model, not a curated record
GUCCUCAGUUCCUCUGGGCCUUCCUGGGCCUCACUCUCCCUCGGAGGGUGAGGGUGUGGUCAGUCCUUCGGGUGACGCCUCAUGGUUUCUGGACUGCUAGACUGGAGCUGAUCAUCUCUGGUCACCCGGAUAGCUUCACGGAAUCGGACCCACACAUGUUUUGGUACUCAAUAGUAAAACACUGGAAACAAAGUCCAUCCAGAUAUACAAUAUGGACGGGAUUGGUUAAAUAACUUGCCCAUAUGCCCCAGCUCUCAGCCUGGUGACUGCACAGAGCUCCUGGGACACGUGUACAGCUCUGGACAACACAAGGGAAAGUUCUGUUUUCUGAAGUGACUGAUGAUGUGUUUAUACAUUAUCUUCUUGCAACAUUCUCUGUGUAGAGAAAAGGGAGAAGUAUGCUAAUUUGCCCAGGAUUUAAAAUAUGUUGACUAUAAA